GAAACGCGAUAGGUAAUGUGAAUUGCAGAAUUCCGUGAAUCAUCGAAUCUUUGAACGCACAUUGCGCCUUCUGGUAUUCCGGUAGGCAUGCCUGUUUGAGCGUCAGCAAACACUCUCAGCAUUGUAUUUUAUUAUUCAAUAGCUGGUCUUGGGCAGUGGAUGCUGGCGGGGUAGAAUUCGUUCUCCCUGCCUGCGCCCUCCCUAAAAUUGCUGCACGACCGCGAGCCCCUUUUUAGCCAGGUCAAUGGAGUGGUGUUACAAUCUUCCAAAAAGCCUGCUAGAUAAUAGCUUUGCGGCGUUAAACGUGAUGUCUCUUUAUUGAGACUGAAGUUUUGACCUCAGAUCAGACAAGGAUACCCGCUGAACUUAA
This 370-nucleotide unclassified non-coding RNA is filed under the name uncultured Orbiliaceae. Its description in RNAcentral is "sequence contains ITS1". The stretch from base 1 to 105 matches the Rfam family "5.8S ribosomal RNA", at positions 50 to 154 of the family's 154-position model. The record is from RNAcentral. Lineage: Eukaryota; Fungi; Ascomycota; Orbiliomycetes; Orbiliales.